RNAcentral lists this long non-coding RNA (672 nucleotides) under Setaria viridis. RNAcentral's name for it is "long non-coding RNA (SVIR_LNC005560)". The record is from RNAcentral. Lineage: Eukaryota; Viridiplantae; Streptophyta; Magnoliopsida; Poales; Poaceae.
CAUGGAUUUGCUAGGGAUCAUCUAGAUGUUCUUGCACAUGUCCUAGCACCGAUUUGCUCCAAUAAAAACAACCCAAAUCGUGGCCAAUCGCAAGAUCCAAAAAUUCACCCAAAAAUGCUUCGAAAAUAGGAAAAAAAGAUAAAUUUCAGAUCUUGAGAAAGAGAAACAAUUGAGCACGAAAUUGAUUCUUGGAUUACUUCACCAUAUCCGGUAACAAGCCACUCCUAAGCACAAUCCAAACUAGGAUGGCAAAAAGAUCAACACAAAGAUCCACUCUUCUCUCCCUCUCUCCCUUUCUACCAAAGACUCUCACAAAAUAAUUGAGUAGCCUACCACCAACCAGCACCCAAGGGAUGGCUGCCCCAACAUCCCUCCCACGUAUAUAUAGAUAUUUGGCCAAAGUCCAAAAUACCCUUACAUUAAGCGUACACCUCAAAUACCCCCCCAGGGGUAAAACCAUCCAACAUUUUCUUCGUUCAACGGACGGACAUGGCACCUUCAUGACUUAGCUUCACCUCGACGCAAGCUUCGGGAUGGUGCCACACGUCCUCUGACUUGACACCAUCCAGCCGUACCGGACUCGUCCCCCGGUUCUAAGGCCAAACCAGUCAAACCCUCUGCACACGCACCUGGCGUGACUCACCAACGGUUUUGAGGCCAAACCGGUCAAAC